Pseudoliparis swirei is the source of this 1961-nucleotide long non-coding RNA. RefSeq lists it as uncharacterized. The transcript is spliced from 2 exons. The record is from RefSeq and is a predicted model, not a curated record. NCBI's taxonomy places the organism in Eukaryota, Metazoa, Chordata, Actinopteri, Perciformes, Liparidae.
GAAGUAGAGAGUUAAAUGGACAUUUUGGUUGAUUUUAGCUCUUUCUGAUGCUUAAUGUUUCAUUUUUCUUUCAUGAACCACCCGCAGUAUUGCUAAUUAGCUACAUGUUUCAGAAAAUCUAUAUUUUUGUCUCAGAGAACCAAAGAUAGAAGAGAUGGAGGAGACUCGCAGCCCACAGUUGGUGUUUUUUUCUUCUUAUUCUUUUCUUUUUGUGUAGAUGCUGAGGUGAUUCUUGCUGCUGACUCCGGGUCAGUCUGAAAAAUGUUAAGGAUUAUUAACCUUUGAAUUUGUAAGAUGCUUUGAUAUCCAGGCUGAAUUUGUUAUUCCCCCUCUCUUCGGGUGCAGUAUCAAACAUUUGCAUUGUGACUGGUCAAUCCUCAGCGUAAAGACAAGUAACCUAGUUGUGAUACACAUUCGCUCGCCUCUGCUACGGAGUUGUAUUCUUGUCGUCUUCGCCGUGCACGCGCCUCCCCCCGGUGCCGAGAUGAGUCCCUGGUUCCAGUACAUGCUGGCUGUGCUGCAGUUUGACAUCGCGCUCAAGAUGAUCAAUCAGAUUGGUAAGGGCAGCGCGGCGCGGCGGUCGUACCUUUUUUAACAACAAAAAACGAUACAAGCCCGAGGCUCCUCGUCUUCUUGCUGCAGAAGUCUUAAUAAAACGGAAUCUCGUCUGCAGAAGAUGGCGAUGUCCUCGUCACUAUCGACGCUGGCUUGGCGUACGGGGACGCUCUGACGUCCGAGUGGACUACGAAGUCUCACUUAGCCGAAGGCUCGGAGAAUGCAUUAUGAGGUCAGUGAGGGUCCCUGGCACUGGGGGGACUACAGGCUCCAGGUCCACAGUGCUUUCCUCACGGGGGUCUAUGGCAUGUGGAACCUGUAUGUGUUCACCAUCGUCUUCCUCUAUGUGCCCUCCCACAAGCAAACCAACAACACACAAACAAACAAAACAAAAAAACGUAACAUUUUUACUUCAGAGUGAGAAUGAUACAAAAUCCUGUGAAGAAAGUGGCAGGGGAAAAGAAGUCUGGGGGAUCUAUUUAAAAAAAAGUUUAAUCUAAAUAGUUUUCUUUUCUGUAUUUAGGACUUUAUAACAGGAUCAUUUAUUUUGUGUAUAGUUGAGAUUCUCAUUUUAACAAAAAGUUCCCUAACGGCAGACUGGGAUACAUUUCUUGACAAAAAUAAAUCUGCCAACAGAUAAUAUAUGAACAAUGUGUUUAAAGUGUGCAGAGAUUAAAUACUCAACUGGAAGAAAACAUGAAUGCUUUUAUUUCAAAAUAUUUUAAAUAUGGUGUACACAAGGUGCUUGUGGUCAAUAUGAGUAUUACAACAACAAACACAAAAAUCUAUGACUGGCGUCCUUUUUGCUUAAGAGUGCUGCAUGAAUGGGUUUUCAAACGGGUUAGUGGUAUGUUUAUAUAUUUAGAGCUAUGUGUGUAUAACAACCAGUCAGAGGUAUGUGUGUAUAACAACCUGUCAGGUAUGUGUGUAUAACAACCAGUCAGAGGUAUGUGUGUAUAACAACCAGUCAGAGGUAUGUGUGUUAUAACAACCAGUCAGGUAUGUGUGUUAUAACAACCAGUCAGGUAUGUGUGUAUAACAACCAGUCAGAGCUAUGUGUUUUAUAACAACCAGUCAGUCAGAGGUAUGUGUGUUAUAACAACCAGUCAGAGGUAUGUGUGUAUAACAACCAGUCAGAGGUAUGUGUGUAUAACAACCAGUCAGGUAUGUGUGUUAUAACAACCAGUCAGUCAGAGGUAUGUGUUAUAACAACCAGUCAGAGGUAUGUGUGUUAUAACAACCAGUCAGUCAGAGCUGUUUCUGUUAUAACAACCAACGUGUUAGUCAUUUACAAGAAUAAACAAAUGACUCUAAAUGAAAUGUGGGGCAAGUUAUGUUCAAAUCACAAAAUGUAAAAAAACCCAAUUUCACUUGGACCAUUUAUACAAAUUAAAAAAUCAAUUACG